ACAGCCCACAUAUUCACCCAUUUGUACAACUUUCUCCCUCUCUCUCCGUAUUUUAAUAGCCUUCCCUUGUUUUGCUUCGUCUUUUCACUGUUUUCUCAGCUCAGUUUAGGUGCGUUGCUUGUAGAGUUAUUAGGUCUUCCAGUAAGAAUGGAUUUGAGUUUGUUAUUUAACAUACUGCAUCCGUACUUGCACCAGAGGUGUUUGAGAAAUUGCCCGAAAGAAGAAACUACUAAUCUUUUUGGGCUCUUAAAUCCAGAUUGUCUGAUCAAAAAUAGCUUUGAAUAUGAUGGGCAACUUCCCAUUAAAGGUGCGCUGUUCUAUGACAGCUUGAAAAUUUCAUUCUCCAGCAGAGAUAAUAUCUGGAACUGAAUUUAGUAUUCGAAAGUUGUGUUUACUGGCCAUAGUUCAGCUAACAAGGUUGUUCAUUAUCGCCAAUUAUUUGAUAGCAAUUACCGGUAUUGCAGAGGACGGAACGUGACUUUUCAGGAGGUAGAAUUGGAGCUUUUUCACACUUUCCUGGUGUCUAUUCUGAACUUAGAGGUCAUCCAUGAUGAGUUAACAAAGUCAUGCACACUUGCAAGCCACUGCUACUUAGCAAGAAGCUCAUUUGAGUGGAAUUUACUCAACUCAAGUAAUAUCUAAUGCACUCUUGACUGAUACUGGCUGCUGUUACUUUAGUAGAUUAAAAUUCUGCUCUAACUGGUUUUGUAUGAAAAUUAACUCCCCAGGAAAAUAUGGAAAAAAUGAUAGCUGGUGCACUAACAGAGUUUUUUCUCUACAUGGUCAUGAACAUUUGUUCUUGUAUUUAACCCUUAUAUCCCUCCACUUCACUCUCCUGUUUAUCCAUUGUAAGUUCAAUUCUAGAAAAUUGUUAUACUACGAUGCUCUUCUUACUCUUUGCUAUAGAGCAGUUCAACGACAUUGUGGGUUGGUGGAGAUGCAUUUGAAAAUCAGUAUUGGAGUGCAAGUGACUCAAAAAAAAAAAAAAAAAAAAAGCUUCUACAUUGGUCCUAUGGAAGACAUACUGAUAUUAGCAACUUGAGUCGGUAGCCAUCUAAAGGCUUGCGCAGAGAAUUGUGCAUGGAGAUGUGCCUCAGGCUCUGAUGAAUCGACGGCUAAUAUCUCUUGACAUGGGUGCGCUCAUAGCCGGUGCAAAAAUACCGUGGUGAAUUUGAAGACAGAUUGAAGGCUGUGCUUAGGAAAGUGACAGAAUCCGAAGGACAGAUCAUUCUUUUUAUUCAUGAGACACAUACUGUUGGCACAGAAAAUGGGGGAGGUUUGAUUUAAGCAGCAGAGCAGUGGCAAACCAGCCACCUAUCUUUGCCAAUUAAAAGAUGCAUAUGACGAUGUUGAUCAAAUGGAGAAGGGCUAUGUGCUGACUCCUGAUUGUGUUUCCAUUAAAACUGCUCGUGUUCGUCAAGUCAAGCUUGUCAAAUUGGCACCUUAGCUUAACGCGUAUUUAAACUUUCUACCCCACUUCUCUUGCUCAGACAUCUUCCCACUGGUUUUUUUUGGUUAAUUCAUACUUUGAUGUAUCAGUUGAGGCAUUAUUGAGUUGUUUCUGUUAAACAGGCCUAAACAAGGCAUGUCAUUUACGUAUAAAAUUUGCAUCCAUCUAUUACAAUUCAUUUAAAAA
Molecule: long non-coding RNA, 1636 nt
Organism: Lycium barbarum (goji berry)
Lineage: Eukaryota; Viridiplantae; Streptophyta; Magnoliopsida; Solanales; Solanaceae
Exons: 6
Source: RefSeq, a predicted model, not a curated record